Molecule: ribosomal RNA, 497 nt
Filed under: uncultured bacterium
Lineage: Bacteria
Description: partial 16S ribosomal RNA
Rfam family: Bacterial small subunit ribosomal RNA
Source: RNAcentral
GAUGAACGCUGGCGGCGUGCUUAACACAUGCAAGUCGAACGAAACACCUUAUUUGAUUUUCUUCGGAACUGAAGAUUUGGUGAUUGAGUGGCGGACGGGUGAGUAACGCGUGGGUAACCUGCCCUGUACAGGGGGAUAACAGUCAGAAAUGACUGCUAAUACCGCAUAAGACCACAGCACCGCAUGGUGCAGGGGUAAAAACUCCGGUGGUACAGGAUGGACCCGCGUCUGAUUAGCUGGUUGGUGAGGUAACGGCUCACCAAGGCGACGAUCAGUAGCCGGCUUGAGAGAGUGAACGGCCACAUUGGGACUGAGACACGGCCCAAACUCCUACGGGAGGCAGCAGUGGGGAAUAUUGCACAAUGGGGGAAACCCUGAUGCAGCGACGCCGCGUGAGUGAAGAAGUAUUUCGGUAUGUAAAGCUCUAUCAGCAGGGAAGAAAAUGACGGUACCUGACUAAGAAGCCCCGGCUAACUACGUGCCAGCCGCCGCGGUAA